RNAcentral lists this long non-coding RNA (1994 nucleotides) under Equus caballus (horse). RNAcentral describes it as "lncRNA (ENSECAG00000046538.1)". Lineage: Eukaryota; Metazoa; Chordata; Mammalia; Perissodactyla; Equidae. The record is from RNAcentral.
CCCUCACUCAUGCACUGUGACAGAAAACAGUAAGAGAGGCACCAGGAAGAGAAAAUGUGUCAAAUUCCCCCAGCCUCCUAGAGAAGGAAGACUGUCACUAUUGAUAAUAGCAUGUUUUACAAUGUGAUUCAUUUGGGAAAAGUUUAAAAUGAAAAAACUCUGUGUCAGGACUAGAAAUACGAUGAUGCACACACUCCCAGCCUUCGUGGAGCUCACAGUUGGCUGAUGGAGAACAACAUUAAACAAGCAAUAACAGUAAAGUAAGGUCAGGAAAGAGCAGGAAAACACCCCCGAUGGUCCUGGCUCUCCUGCGGCAGUGAAGCGGAGAAAAGAGAAGAUACUGCAUCCAAGAAAAAAGAACAGACUCAAACAGAAAAGGAAUAUUCAAAAGCCAAAAUGGAAUUCUUAGAAAUUAAAAACAACAGAAAUGAGAAACUCAACAGUAAAUCUCUCAGAAAGUCAAGCAAAAAGACAAAGAGAUAGAAAAAUUGGAGGGAAAAUAGCAAGCCAAAUUAGAAGACUAGUCCAAGAAUUCGAAUAUCUAAGUAAUAGGAGUUCCAGAGAGAGGGAGAGAAAAAAACAAAAACAAAAACAGAAAACGGAAAACAGAAAAGAGGUAAUCACAAAUGAAAUUACCGUACUCGCUCCUAAUCCGUGAAGGUACGUUCCAAGACCCCAGUGGAUGUCUGAAACCACAGAUCAUGGUCCUCCGAGAAGCAGACACCAAAACAGAAUUUGAUGUGCAAGAAAUUUACUGGGGAAAAUGCCUAUGAAAGAUAAAGGAGGAAGAAGCAGGAGUGGAUGGGGAGAGCCUUCACACAAACGAGGUGAGGCAGGUCUGACUCAUGUGAAAGGAGAGCAGGAAGGAAGAAUAUCAGCCUGCAGGGCAGUUUGGAGAAAGUCUCCUCCAGGUCCAGAAAGAACCUCCGAAGCCUGCAUGGCCUGUCGGAGGAGUCCCACGUAAGUCAGGGACUGGCCGACUCCAGCGCCCCCCUGGGAUGCUUGCUGGCUGAGAGUAGGCUGGGAGAAAUGUGAAUGUCAUGGUGGAUCCAAAAGGCAGCAGCUGGAGGCUGUCGGUCAAUUGCAUUUCCCACAGCAGGUUCUUUUGAAGGAGAUCUGAGUGGAGCACUUCCAUGGCCAGCACAGCUUUCCAGGAGCUCUCAAUUUAGGCAGGUAAACAUAUACAUCACAGCUGUAUUCCAAGGCUGUGGACUAGCCCUUUGGGGUUCUGUGUCCGUUCUGUGUUCACUCAGCCAUAGCCUGGGUUGUGGACAGGGACCAUGGUAUGGAACAUGGCUGCUCAGAUAAGGAGGGCUGUGAUGUGUGUGUAGAUACACCUCACAGGCCCAGGAAAGCAGGGAAAUGGUUGAUAUAAUACAAUUAUGUACAAGACACAGUGGCAGGAAGGAGGGAAUUAACUAACUGCUUAUGAAGGAGAGGUCAGGGAAGGGUCCAGGAUAAAGGGACGUGGAAUUGGGUUUACCACUGGAAUUUAUCACAUACACAGGAGGUGAUGCAGUCAAAUCUGUCUCAUUGGAAACCUGGAUUCACAUCCUGGCUCUGUCACUUAUUAGCUUUUGACCUUGGGUGAGUCUCUUAACCUUUUUCAAGCCACAGUUUUUUCAUCUGUAAAACAGAGAUGAUGAUCGUAGCUAUUUUACAGAGUUAGGAUGAUGCACGUAAAUUCAUUAGCAGAAUGCCUGACCUAUGGGAAGUGACCAGUAAAUGGUAACAGUUAGUAUUCUUGUUGUUAAUAAUUCUGACAUAUCAGACAGUGGAAACAGCCUGUCCAAAGACAUGAGAGGAUGAAGGGCAGCCAGUCCGGGUUGCUGCCGGCAGUUUUCUGUGGCUGGAUCAUAUGGUGCAAGGGAAAAUGUGGGAGAAAACAGGUCGGGAAAACAGGCCCCAUGAGACGAAAAGCCUUAUGUGCUGUGUAAGAUAUUUCGGACUUCACACUAGGUUAUGAGAAGCUAUUAGAGGAUAUUGGGGGCGGG